AAACUGAAUAAAUUCUCUUCUCUUGAAGUCAAAAAACCUUCUCAGGCACUACAAAUGACAGAAAUUUCAUCUUAUUCACCAGAAAGCCUUUCCAGAGCAGUCAGUGACUCACAGAUUCAAUGUCAGUCUUAGAAGCCUUCCAACCUGAGGAGAAUAUGAAAUGAUGAAGUAUCCUUUGCUGCACAUCUGCUUGAAGUACAGCAUAAUGCUGUUUGAGCAUUCUUGAUUUCAGGAAUACAGAUACCAGUCUCAAGUCACUGAACAUCUCUGUUGUGGCAAGACAGGACUGUCUCUUCUCUGUGGAGAUUUUUUUGGAGUUUGUUUUGUUUUGUUGUUUUUUGGGUUUUUUUUUUCCCGUCUUCAAGUAUAGAUAGCCAAAGGAGGAAGUAACUGACUGAUUGAUUAUUUGUGACUACUGAAGGAAGGCCCCUUUAAAGAAAUGUCUUUGAGCUUAAGCAGGCAAAGUCAUCACUUGAUAGCCUGUUGAUUUGCAGUAGGAAAUUACUUAAAUAGAUACUCUUCCUGGAAAAGUCCUGUCUGCCACUCUGCAGCAGCUCAGAUGGAGCAGUGUGCUUUGCUUCCUCAUCACUUACAUUGUGUGGUGUUCCCUUAGGAGUGCGAAGAACAGGCAAGAGACCAACAGAGAAAUUUUUAAAGGCAAUAUAAUAUCUCAGCCACUGAUUACAGCAGGAUUUCAACCCAGAUGGAAAUGUGCUCCAUUAGUUUGGACAAGCCAUUGCACCCAUUGGCACCUCACAGCCUUAUUUGAUUGAGGACACAAGUUUCAUGAUUCACUUAAUCUGAGACUGUACUGCUGCCAAAGGGACAUUCCUCCCCCUCUUACAUCAGACCAGGCACCCACAUGACCAUGCAAUAAACUGAUCCAUCAGAAAAAAAACCAGCCCUGGCAGGGGGAAAAGAGGAAGAGAUUACUUUUUGAAGCCAGAAGGUUAAGCAAGAAGCCAAGCCAGAAGGUUGCUGAGGCUUAUGAAAUGGGUGGACUGGCAAUGAACAGCUAGGGGGAUGGAGAGGUGAGACAGCCACCUCUGAGGCAGUGGGAUUCAGCAGCAUUCUGAUAUUUUCUAAGAUACCUCCUGGCUUCUCAAGAGUUGCAGUGGUGGAAGUUGGGUUUGAAUUUCCACAAAAGUAUACAUUUGGCUCCAAAGUACCCUGAUAUUGGCAUUGUGAAAAGAUUUUGUGCUGAAAUCAGUGUUGGACUACCUAAGGGACCUCUCAAUGGCCAUGCAAAAUGUUUUUAAGCCUAGAAUAAGUGAUGUAGCUACCUCUGUUCUCUUGGAGAAGCUGGAACUCAAUCGUCUAAUCGUCGUUUUUAAGAAAAAAUCCUCUGAAAAAUAAAAAUG
Molecule: long non-coding RNA, 1361 nt
Organism: Oenanthe melanoleuca
Lineage: Eukaryota; Metazoa; Chordata; Aves; Passeriformes; Muscicapidae
Exons: 3
Source: RefSeq, a predicted model, not a curated record